RNAcentral lists this ribosomal RNA (376 nucleotides) under uncultured organism. RNAcentral describes it as "partial 16S ribosomal RNA". It matches the Rfam family "Bacterial small subunit ribosomal RNA", at positions 527 to 896 of the family's 1533-position model. The record is from RNAcentral.
GAGGGGUGCAAGCGUUAUUCGGAAUCAUUGGGGCGUAAAGAGUGUGUAGACGGCACGUUAAGUCAACUGUUAAAUUCUCCGGCCUAACCGGGAGGGUCAGCGGGUAGAAACUGGUGUGCUAGAGGAUGGAAGAGAGAAGUGGAAUUCUCGGAGUAGCGGUAAAAUGCGUAGAUCUCGAGAGGAACACCGAUGGCGAAGGCAGCUUCUUGGUCCAUUCCUGACGUUGAGACACGAAAGCGUGGGGAGCAAACAGGAUUAGAUACCCUGGUAGUCCACGCCGUAAACGAUGAUCACUAGACGUCAGCUCUGUUUUGCAGUGUUGGUGUCGCAGCUAACGCGUUAAGUGAUCCGCCUGGGGAGUACGAUCGCAAGAUUA